GAAAACACCAUCCUGGCCACUAUGGACGUAGAAGCCCUCUACACCAAUAUUCCACACAAAGAUGGACUACAAGCUAUCAGGAACAGUAUCCCCGAUAAUGUCACAGCUAACCUGAUGGCUGAACUUUGUGACUUUGUCCUCAUCCACAACUAUUUCACAUUUGGGGACAAUAUAUACCUUCAAGUCAGCAGCACUGCUAUGGGUACCCGCAUGGCCCCACAGUAUGCCAACAUUUUUAUGGCUGACUUAGAACAACGCUUCCUUAGCUCUCGUCCCCUAACGCCCCUACUCUACUUGUGCUACAUUGAUGACAUCUUCAUCAUCACCCAUGGAAAAGAAGCCCUUGAGGAAUUCCACCAUGAUUUCAAUAAUUUCCAUCCCACCAUCAACCUCAGCCUAGAUCAAUCCACACAAGCGGUCCAUUUCCUGGACACUACUGUGCUAAUCAGCGAUGGUCACAUAAAUACCACCCUAUACCGGAAACCUACUGACCGCUACACUUACCUACAUGCCUCCAGCUUCCAUCCAGGACACACCACACGAUCCAUUGUCUACAGCCAAGCUCUAAGAUAUGACCGCAUUUGCUCCAAUCCCUCAGAUAGAGACAAGCACCUACAAGAUCUCUAUCAAGCAUUCUUAAAACUACAAUACCCACCUGCUGAAGUGAAAAAACAGAUUGAUAGAGCCAGACGAGUACCCAGAAGUCACCUCCUACAAGACAGGCCCAACAAAGAAAAUAACAGAACACCACUAGCUGUCACUUUCAGCCCCCAACUAAAACCUCUCCAGCGCAUCAUCAGAGAUCUACAACCUAUCCUGAAAAAUGAUCCUUUACUCUCACAGAUCUUGGGAGACAGACCUAUCCUCGCUUACAGACAACCCCCCAACCUAAAGCAAAUACUCACCAGCAACCACACAUCACUGAACAAAAACACUGACCCAGGAACCUAUCCUUGUAACAAAGCCCAAUGCCAACUCUGUCCAUAUAUCUAUUCAAGUGACAUCAUCAUAGGACCUAAUCACAUCAGCCAUACCAUCAGGGGCUCAUUCAUCUGCACAUCUACCAAUGUGAUAUAUGCCAUCAUGUGCCAGCAAUGCCCCUCUGCCAUCUACAAUGGCCAAACCGGACAGUCU
This 1134-nucleotide long non-coding RNA is filed under the name Chrysemys picta bellii (western painted turtle). RNAcentral's name for it is "lncRNA (ENSCPBG00000002699.1)". The record is from RNAcentral. Lineage: Eukaryota; Metazoa; Chordata; Testudines; Emydidae.